CAGCCGCCGCGGGAAUACGAAGGGGGCUAGCGUUGCUCGGAAUGACUGGGCGUAAAGGGCGCGUAGGCGGUUUUGACAGUCAGAUGUGAAAUUCCUGGGCUUAACCUGGGGGCUGCAUUUGAGACGUCAAGACUAGAGUGUGAGAGAGGGUUGUGGAAUUCCCAGUGUAGAGGUGAAAUUCGUAGAUAUUGGGAAGAACACCGGUGGCGAAGGCGGCAACCUGGCUCAUUACUGACGCUGAGGCGCGAAAGCGUGGGGAGCAAACAGGAUUAGAUACCCGAGUAGUCCCUGUCUCUUAUAC
RNAcentral lists this ribosomal RNA (301 nucleotides) under uncultured bacterium. RNAcentral describes it as "partial 16S ribosomal RNA". It matches the Rfam family "Bacterial small subunit ribosomal RNA", at positions 509 to 807 of the family's 1533-position model. The record is from RNAcentral.